Molecule: ribosomal RNA, 253 nt
Filed under: uncultured bacterium
Lineage: Bacteria
Description: partial 16S ribosomal RNA
Rfam family: Bacterial small subunit ribosomal RNA
Source: RNAcentral
UACGUAGGGUCCGAGCGUUGUCCGGAAUUACUGGGCGUAAAGAGCUCGUAGGUGGUUUGUCGCGUUGUUCGUGAAAACUCACAGCUCAACUGUGGGCGUGCGGGCGAUACGGGCAGACUGGAGUACUGCAGGGGAGACUGGAAUUCCUGGUGUAGCGGUGGAAUGCGCGGAUAUCAGGAGGAACACCGGUGGCGAAGGCGGGUCUCUGGGCAGUAACUGACGCUGAGGAGCGAAAGCGUGGGGAGCGAACAGG